Molecule: long non-coding RNA, 920 nt
Organism: Hirundo rustica (Barn swallow)
Lineage: Eukaryota; Metazoa; Chordata; Aves; Passeriformes; Hirundinidae
Exons: 5
Source: RefSeq, a predicted model, not a curated record
GGGGAACUUUUGCAUGCUCCCUUUUCAGCUUAUUGCAAACCCUUUCUGUCUCUGUUAGACCAAAACUGGGCCUUCUGCACUGGUGCACAUCAUUACCAGGGAUUCACCUUCUCUACAAGACAUUUUAAAGUGAUACUUGGAAAACUGUCCUUUGCCUAUAGAAAAUGUACCCCUGAGUUCCUCAGAGCUGUGCUGACAGCCUGGAAACUGGAAGCACACAUCCAGUUCUCUGCCAUGGGUCAUGUGUGGCUGCUCCCAGCACUGGCCAAGCAGCAGCCCUUGUGCCAGUCCUUGUGCCAGCCCUUCCCUGUUCCAGGCUCUGGAACACCAUCCCUACAGCUCAACCAGCACAGCUUGGGCUGCCUUACAUUUAACAGAUGUUAAAUAAGGAACUACUUUGAUUUUCCUGGGCCGCUGCACGCUCCCAUCCACAGCGCAGCGCUGCAGAAAACUCCUGAUUUAAACGCAGAACCUGGGGCCGGGAGGUUUGUGUGGCUGGCGCUGCUCCGCGUUGUUCUGCGCUCCGGAUGGAUCCUGCCCCUCUCUGUUCCAAUGACCUUGCUGUCGUGUCCUGGGGACCUUCUCAAGGAUUUCUGCCGAGCUGCAGUGAGCCCCGGCCAUGCUCCCACCCCUGCUGACUGAUAAUCUUGGAAGCAGCAGUGAAUAGAUUUGUAGCUCCACUUAGAAUAAACAAGAUACGCAUGAGGUGGAACGUGCCACGGGCUCUGCUCCGGCGAGGUGCUCCUGGGGAUAAUUUCUUUCUCUCCUGCAAAGGGCAGAGGGAGCUGGGAGCACAAAGCUGUCCCGGGAUUUCUUCUGUCCUGUGCACUAGAACAAUGAGGGUGAAAAUCUCAAGGAAAUUGUUCUGCAGAAACGCACAGUGCUCCAAGUGGCUGGUCAGUGUGUUCAGAUUUAUCCAA